This 253-nucleotide ribosomal RNA is filed under the name uncultured bacterium. RNAcentral describes it as "partial 16S ribosomal RNA". It matches the Rfam family "Bacterial small subunit ribosomal RNA", at positions 524 to 776 of the family's 1533-position model. The record is from RNAcentral.
UACGGAGGGUGCAAGCGUUAAUCGGAAUUACUGGGCGUAAAGGGUGCGUAGGCGGUUUAAUAAGUUAAGUGUGAAAGUCCCGGGCUUAACCUGGGGAAGUCAUUUAAGACUGUUAGACUAGAGUAUGGGAGAGGGUAGUGGAAUUUCCGGUGUAGCGGUGAAAUGCGUAGAGAUCGGAAGGAACACCAGUGGCGAAGGCGGCUACCUGGCCUAAUACUGACGCUGAGGCACGAAAGCAUGGGGAGCAAACAGG